This 258-nucleotide unclassified non-coding RNA is filed under the name uncultured Conocybe. RNAcentral's name for it is "sequence contains ITS1". The record is from RNAcentral. Lineage: Eukaryota; Fungi; Basidiomycota; Agaricomycetes; Agaricales; Bolbitiaceae.
CAGAGUAAACUUGGUGGGUUGUUGCUGGCUCUCUAUUGAGCAUGUGCACACCUGUCAUCUUUAUCUUUCCACCAUGUGCACCUUUUGUAGGACUGGAAUAGACAAUACGCCUAGUCUCUUGUAGACUAUUGGGAGGUUGCUGAAUUUAUCGGCUCUUUCUCGUUCUGGCUGUCUAUUUCAUUCUCUACGAUAUUUAUAUAUACACCAUGUAUGUCAAUGAACGCAUCAAUGGGCCCACAAAGCCUAUAAACUAUAAUA